CGAUGUUCAUGUGCCUAUUUACAAUUCGGUGAUUAGUCGGUAGCAUUACAUUUUACAUUCUACUAUUUAAGUUGACAAAAUAAUAAGAUUGUUUACAAUAACAAGAAUAUUGAGACCCUUUUGAGUUAUACUUAAUUUUAUUUUAACAAAACAGACAAAAAAAAAUAGCAUGUAAGUAAGCCUUAAGCGCGUUACACACUACCUGAUUUGGUCGGGCCGACAGGAUAAUUUGGUCAGAUCAGACGUCAUAUCAGGUCGUGUGUAGACGUGUCGUCUGACUUUAAUCCUGUCGGGUCUUGUCAGGUGGCCAUACUAUCUGAUCGCCCGACCGACCGACCAAAUCAUAAAGUAUGUAGCACUGUCGGGCGGAUUUUAGUUGGUUUAUUGAGGUUAACGUGAUAACACGUGUGUGUACCUAGUACCUACUUCCAGUUUAAUAACGGUGUUAAGACUGACUAAAUCGUGUGGUGGUCGUACUGUGUGUACGCAACAUCUGAUUUGGUCAGGUAUCCUAUCGGCCCGAAUAAAUCAGGUAGUGUGUAACGCGCUUAAAAAUUUAGUGAUUUGUUACUGAUUUUUAGUAUGGUAGCAGAAGGUAUGAAUUGUGUUCUAUUGGGUCCUAAUCCAUUCUUCAUAUAUCAGGUAAAUUUUACUUUUGAACCUUUUUCCAAGAAGCUAACAAUUAAUAAUUAUACAGAUAAAAAUUCUCCACAACCAAUACUGUUACCGAGAAUUGUUGUUUUGCACAAAUGUUUAGUAUCUUUUGAUUAUUAUCUCCUGUAUACAAUAUCCAUAUUUGUUAACCAAAAAUAGAUAGGUCAAUAGCCUGUAGAAUACAUAGACCUUAUACUCAUAGACGGAACAAGCUAGUAGUUCCCGCGGAAAACGGUGGCUGCGCUGUACAUCUUGGGCUUGGGUCAGUUCUCCUCAUUGAUAAGAGAUAAAAAUGAUAAGAAAACAUUUUAUCAUGAAACACCAACUGUUCGGAAUCAAAAUUUUUACUGCCAGGAAUUUAACGUCAAAAAAUUAGGCUAUACUGUGUUUAUGUAUUUUAUGUAUUUAACGGUUUACUGAUUAAAUUUUAAAAUUAUAAAUCAUUAUCAUAUUGGUUAUUGUUUAAGACUAUCACCUGCGAUUAUUUCAUGAAAAAACUUUCAGCGAUUAUAUUUAAUAAUAAUCUAAUAAUAAUAAUUACUUAGUUUUGACUUAUAUGUACCAUUCUUGAAGGAUGUAAUCAGUGAAAGAGGUCUUGAUCAUACAAUUACAAAAUCGUCAGUUCUAAGCAUUUAUAACAGUGAAAUAAUUAGACACUAAGAAGCAGCCACAAAGUAUACGUGCAUCCAGUUCUCAGAAAGGUUGAAAAAGAUGAAAAGGUUGUGGAGACUAAAAACACCGCAAACCAUCCACAUUUCAAAUUAUACCCUCAACAUUUUUUCAACAAUAACUAAUUGUAAAUGAUAUUAAUGUAGCAGUUGUUUUUGCCAACAUUGAUGCGAUCUACAGAUAUCGCGAAGAGUUAACUUCAGUAGAGCUGGUUGGAGUAGAUGCCACAUAUAAAACUGUCCCUCAAGUGCCAGAGGACUUACGAUCUUUCCUAACAUUUCAAGUACUCUACAAAGAUGUUGCAUUUCCAAUGGUUUAUGCCCUUUUGAGGAGUGAAACACAAGAAACUUACUCUUCAUUAUUAACAGUAAUACGCUAUAUUUUACCUUUUCGUUAUAAUAGAAUCAGUUUUGUCACUGAUUAUGAACGAGCUAUUAUGAAUGCUAUCAGGGAAUUAUUUCCAAAUAGUCAGUUAGUAUGUUGUUGGUUUCAUUAUACAAAGAAAAGCUGAUUGUUGAUUGUUGUUGAGAAUCACAUCUUUAUAGAAUUUCAACAGUGUUAAGAUGGCUUUAAAGUUAGAAAUUAAAUAAACAAAAAAGAGAGGGAAAUACAUCUAUAAUGAUAAGAGAAUGCGUACAGCAGCUGAAUCAAAACGGUGACUUAUUGAUGUUUUUAAGGAGAACAGGUCACCGUAAUGAUGGUUAUGUUCAACGACAAAUCCGGUCAUAUCCUAAUAUAUUAUAAAAUAUUACAAUCUUAUUGUUAUUAUAUAUUGUAAACUAAUUUUAUUAUUGUUUUUUUUACCUUGUAAUAUGUACAAAUAGUUAUUGUCAAAUCAAGUUGACUAUUAUACACAUGUUUUUUUUUAAU
Molecule: long non-coding RNA, 2193 nt
Filed under: Sipha flava (yellow sugarcane aphid)
Lineage: Eukaryota; Metazoa; Arthropoda; Insecta; Hemiptera; Aphididae
Description: uncharacterized LOC112681115
Source: RNAcentral